This 447-nucleotide ribosomal RNA is filed under the name uncultured bacterium. RNAcentral describes it as "bacterial SSU rRNA". It matches the Rfam family "Bacterial small subunit ribosomal RNA", at positions 329 to 793 of the family's 1533-position model. The record is from RNAcentral.
CGCCAGACUCCUACGGGAGGCAGCAGUGGGGAAUAUUGCACAAUGGGGGAAACCCUGAUGCAGCGACGCCGCGUGAGUGAAGAAGUAAUUCGUUAUGUAAAGCUCUCUCAGCAGGGAAGAAAAUGACGGUACCUGAGUAAGAAGCCCCGGCUAACUACGUGCCAGCAGCCGCGGUAAUACGUAGGGGGCAAGCGUUAUCCGGAUUUACUGGGUGUAAAGGGAGCGUAGACGGCAGUGCAAGUCUGGAGUGAAUGGCGGGGGCUCAACCCCCGGACUGCUCUGGAAACUGUACGGCUGGAGUGCAGGAGAGGUAAGUGGAAUUCCUAGUGUAGCGGUGAAAUGCGUAGAUAUUAGGAGGAACACCAGUGGCGAAGGCGGCCUACUGGACUGUAACUGACGUUGAGGCUCGAAAGCGUGGGGAGCAAACAGGAUUAGAUACCCGAGUAC